Molecule: long non-coding RNA, 855 nt
Organism: Lytechinus variegatus (green sea urchin)
Lineage: Eukaryota; Metazoa; Echinodermata; Echinoidea; Temnopleuroida; Toxopneustidae
Exons: 3
Source: RefSeq, a predicted model, not a curated record
CGUUUUUGUAUUGCAAGAUGAAAGCAGAUCUUUAGACAUUCGCCCCCUUGCCCCUCUCUUUUGUGUCUUAAAUUUAGUCAACUAAUACAAAUAUGAUAAAUAUAACCAUAUCGGGUUAUUCCGUCUUAAUGAAGGGCCCUAACCGUAUCAGGAGAGAUUAUUACAGAGAUGGCGGCUGCAUUCUCUUUCAAGAUAGAUCGAUAUACAAGUAUGUUUGAAGUUUUGAUUUUUCCCUUUAAUUUGAUGAAUAACAUUUCCUUGAGUCUCUUAAAAAAUAAUAAAACAGAUGAGAUAAAUUUGAUAGAGUCUUCCUUGUUACUAUGUAUUUUUUAUACAUUUAUUUUCAUAAAGUAAGAAUACAGUAACGUAAAGAGGAAUAUGGUAACAAAAGAUUGCGAAUCAUGAGUGUGAACAUGCCACCUCUGUGAGGUGGAGACGAAGUGACUGCUCUUGAAAUCGGCAUUCAUACACCCACUCCCCUGCAGCCAGGCUUACCAAACAGGUCACGUGAUUGCGCUUAAAAGCAAUCACUCACUCCACUAGAUACAACCACUCGGUCCAUACGAGUCACGUGAUUGCACCUAAAAAGCAACCACUCACUCCGCUAGAUACAACCACUCGGUCCAUACGAGUCACGUGAUUGCCCUUAUAAGCAACCACUCACUCCACUAGAUACAACCACUCGGUCCAUACGAGUCACGUGAUUGCACCUAAAAAGCAACCACUCACUCCGCUAGAUACAACCACUCGGUCCAUACGAGUCACGUGAUUGCCCUUAUAAGCAACCACUCACUCCACUAGAUACAACCACUCGGUCCAUACGAGUCACGUGAUUGCACCUAAAAAGCAACCACU